GUUUGAUCCUGGCUCAGGACGAACGCUGGCGGCGUGCCUAAUACAUGCAAGUAGAACGCUGAAGACUUUAGCUUGCUAGAGUUGGAAGAGUUGCGAACGGGUGAGUAACGCGUAGGUAACCUGCCUAUUAGUGGGGGAUAACUAUUGGAAACGAUAGCUAAUACCGCAUAAUAGUGUUUAACACAUGUUAGAGACUUAAAAGAUGCAAUUGCAUCACUAGUAGAUGGACCUGCGUUGUAUUAGCUAGUUGGUGGGGUAACGGCCUACCAAGGCGACGAUACAUAGCCGACCUGAGAGGGUGAUCGGCCACACUGGGACUGAGACACGGCCCAGACUCCUACGGGAGGCAGCAGUAGGGAAUCUUCGGCAAUGGGGGCAACCCUGACCGAGCAACGCCGCGUGAGUGAAGAAGGUUUUCGGAUCGUAAAGCUCUGUUGUAAGAGAAGAACGUGUGUGAGAGUGGAAAGUUCACACAGUGACGGUAACUUACCAGAAAGGGACGGCUAACUACGUGCCAGCAGCCGCGGUAAUACGUAGGUCCCGAGCGUUGUCCGGAUUUAUUGGGCGUAAAGCGAGCGCAGGCGGUUUAAUAAGUCUGAAGUUAAAGGCAGUGGCUUAACCAUUGUUCGCUUUGGAAACUGUUAAACUUGAGUGCAGAAGGGGAGAGUGGGAUUCCAUGUGUAGCGGUGAAAUGCGUAGAUAUAUGGAGGAACACCGGUGGCGAAAGCGGCUCUCUGGUCUGUAACUGACGCUGAGGCUCGAAAGCGUGGGGAGCAAACAGGAUUAGAUACCCUGGUAGUCCACGCCGUAAACGAUGAGUGCUAGGUGUUAGGCCCUUUCCGGGGCUUAGUGCCGCAGCUAACGCAUUAAGCACUCCGCCUGGGGAGUACGACCGCAAGGUUGAAACUCAAAGGAAUUGACGGAAGGGCGAAAU
This 934-nucleotide ribosomal RNA is filed under the name uncultured bacterium. RNAcentral's name for it is "bacterial SSU rRNA". It matches the Rfam family "Bacterial small subunit ribosomal RNA", at positions 11 to 927 of the family's 1533-position model. The record is from RNAcentral.